Molecule: ribosomal RNA, 456 nt
Filed under: Gelidium sp. LLG-2014
Lineage: Eukaryota; Rhodophyta; Florideophyceae; Gelidiales; Gelidiaceae
Description: eukaryotic LSU rRNA
Rfam family: Eukaryotic large subunit ribosomal RNA
Source: RNAcentral
AAAGAACCUGAAACCGUUACGGGGGAAGCGGAUUGCAUUAUUCUAGUUUUAACGUGUUCAACCUUUUAGGUGCAUUGACGUUAAAACUUAUCUGCUGUGGAUUUUUGAUAAUUGAACAAUGAAUUAUUAAAGAUUGAGGGCUCCACUUUGUGUGAGGACAGCGGAUUGACGAUGCGAUACGACCCGUCUUGAAACACGGACCAAGGAGUCUAGCGCGGGUGCGAGUCGGAAGGUGUAAAAACCUGUGGGCGAAGUGAAAGCGAGAUAAAACUCUCAGUUUGAGGCGGCAUAUUUUCGUUGAAAAUAGGUCCGACCUUGAGCAGUUGCGCUGGGACCCGAAAGAUGGUGAACUAUGCCGGAGUAGGGCAAAGCCAGAGGAAACUCUGGUGGAGGCUCGUACCGGUGCUGACGUGCAAAUCGCUCGUCGAACUUGGGUAUAGGGGCGAAAGACUAAUC